GAGACUCUGUGCGCGUGCAUAUCAAUAAGCGGAGGAAAAGAAACUAACAAGGAUUCCCCUAGUAACGGCGAGUGAAGCGGGAAGAGCUCAAAUUUGAAAUCUUCAAGGGUUUCCCUUGACGAAUUGUAGUUUAAAGAAGUGUUUUCUGUUAGAGAGGUGGUAAAAGUUCUUUGGAAUAGGACAUCAUAGAGGGUGAGAAUCCCGUAUUUGAUCACUUUCUACUAACGUUGUGAUACACUUUCAAAGAGUCGGAUUGUUUGGGAAUGCAGUCCAAAAUGGGUGGUAAAUUUCAUCUAAAGCUAAAUAUUGGCGAGAGACCGAUAGCGAACAAGUACCGUGAGGGAAAGAUGAAAAGAACUUUGAAAAGAGAGUUAAACAGUACGUGAAAUUGUCAAAAGGGAAGCGUUUGACACCAGUGUUGUUUUUCCGAAAAUCAAUUAAGAAUGGCCGGAUUUUAAGUUUCAUGACCUUAAAAGCUUGUUUCUUAUUCUUCUUGUCUUUCUUAAUGCACUUUUCGGUUAACAAGUCAACAUCAAUUUCUUUUGUUGUAAAAGGUUAAGAGGAAGGUGGCUUUACUUUCGGGUAAAGUGUUUAUAGCCUUUUAACUCUGCAAUCGGAGAGAUUGAGGUCUGCAGCGUAGAUCCUUCGGGGCUAGAUACGUUUGUGCUAAGUUAUAGCUUUUCAUAGACAACUUGUUGACUAUGUUUAGUCUUGUAGCUUACUCGCAUGCGCUAUUUUACCUACGCUUAGGAUGUUGAACUCUAUCACACACAG
RNAcentral lists this ribosomal RNA (774 nucleotides) under uncultured Neocallimastigales. RNAcentral describes it as "partial large subunit ribosomal RNA". It matches the Rfam family "Eukaryotic large subunit ribosomal RNA", at positions 23 to 621 of the family's 3401-position model. The record is from RNAcentral. Lineage: Eukaryota; Fungi; Neocallimastigomycota; Neocallimastigomycetes; Neocallimastigales.